Molecule: transfer RNA, 66 nt
Filed under: Fusobacterium polymorphum
Lineage: Bacteria; Fusobacteriati; Fusobacteriota; Fusobacteriia; Fusobacteriales; Fusobacteriaceae
Also listed under: 1 other name
Rfam family: tRNA
About the family: Transfer RNA (tRNA) molecules are approximately 80 nucleotides in length. Their secondary structure includes four short double-helical elements and three loops (D, anti-codon, and T loops). Further hydrogen bonds mediate the characteristic L-shaped molecular structure. tRNAs have two regions of fundamental functional importance: the anti-codon, which is responsible for specific mRNA codon recognition, and the 3' end, to which the tRNAs corresponding amino acid is attached (by aminoacyl-tRNA synthetases). tRNAs cope with the degeneracy of the genetic code in two manners: having more than one tRNA (with a specific anti-codon) for a particular amino acid; and 'wobble' base-pairing, i.e. permitting non-standard base-pairing at the 3rd anti-codon position.
Source: RNAcentral
UCAUAGCUCAAUUGGAUAGAGCAUCUGACUUCGGAUCAGAGGGUUGUGGGUUCAAGUCCUACUGGG